CCCACUGUCCCUGUCUACUAUCC
RNAcentral lists this non-coding RNA (23 nucleotides) under Arabidopsis thaliana (thale cress). Lineage: Eukaryota; Viridiplantae; Streptophyta; Magnoliopsida; Brassicales; Brassicaceae. The record is from RNAcentral.